Non-coding RNA from Homo sapiens (human), 148 nucleotides. It matches the Rfam family "Metazoan signal recognition particle RNA". Rfam says of the family: The signal recognition particle (SRP) is a universally conserved ribonucleoprotein. NCBI's taxonomy places the organism in Eukaryota, Metazoa, Chordata, Mammalia, Primates, Hominidae. The record is from Rfam.
GCCAGGCAUGGUGGUGCGUGCCUGUAAUCCCAACUACUAGGGAGACUGAGACACAAGAAUCGCUUGAACCCGGGAUGUGGAGGUUGCAGUGAGCUGUGAUCGUGCCACUGCACUCUACCCUGGGCAACAGAGUGAGACUGUGUCUCCA